RNAcentral lists this ribosomal RNA (253 nucleotides) under uncultured bacterium. RNAcentral's name for it is "partial 16S ribosomal RNA". It matches the Rfam family "Bacterial small subunit ribosomal RNA", at positions 524 to 776 of the family's 1533-position model. The record is from RNAcentral.
UACGAAGGGGGCUAGCGUUGCUCGGAAUUACUGGGCGUAAAGGGCGCGUAGGCGGACAGUUUAGUCAGAGGUGAAAGCCCAGGGCUCAACCUUGGAAUUGCCUUUGAUACUGGCUGUCUUGAGUUCGGGAGAGGUGAGUGGAAUGCCGAGUGUAGAGGUGAAAUUCGUAGAUAUUCGGCGGAACACCAGUGGCGAAGGCGACUCACCGGCCCGAUACUGACGCUGAGGCGCGAAAGCGUGGGGAGCAAACAGG